Molecule: ribosomal RNA, 137 nt
Filed under: uncultured eukaryote
Lineage: Eukaryota
Description: partial 18S ribosomal RNA
Rfam family: Eukaryotic small subunit ribosomal RNA
Source: RNAcentral
UCGUGGAGUGAUUUGUCUGCUUAAUUGCGAUAACGAACGAGACCUUAACCUGCUAAAUAGCCCGGCUCGCUUUGGCGGGUCGCCGGCUUCUUAGAGGGACUAUCGGCUCAAGCCGAUGGAAGUUUGAGGCAAUAACA